ACUCAGGUCGUGUGCUGGGGCUUUUCUCUCCUAGGAGCUGGCGGGGGAGGGGGAGGGGCCGCCGCUCCGCCUUCUCCUUUUCGCAAUGUUGACGCAAUCUAUAAAUAGUGGAACAAAAGAACCAACUUCCUCGGAGCUUUGCUGAAACUGCACAAAAUAUCGAGCUGAGGGGUUCCCUGGUCCCCGGCGGCAGGGCGGGGAGUGUGGCGCCGGGGAGGGGGCGGGAGCAGCAGCGGCAGCGCGGGCCUCGCCGAGAGGGGACACCUGGCUCGGGCACCGCUGCCGCUGCGCCGCCCCAGAAGCCCAGGCUCCGAGCAGUCCCUGCGCGGGCUCGAGAGCUCGCCCGGACUGGGGGGUCUUCCUCCUCCGCCGAUGACAGAUAGAAGAUGAGAAGCAAAGAGGGAGAGAAAGAGAGAAGGAAGGACACCACAACACUGUUCCACUGUGUGAAGAUUCCCCCUUGCAUGUGCUCCCUUGUGCUGACCAGGGACUCACACCUAUGUCCUCAUGCUUGGUGAAUUAUAUGCUCUCCCAGAAGAAUCAAUGCAUAUCGACUGACACCUAAGGACCUACAGUCCCAAAGUCCCCAGGGCUCCUCCACCUUUGCGGUUGUGAGAACUGCUCCACGCAAGCGCAGAAGAGCUAGGAAGCCGGCAGCUUGAGAAAGCAGAACCGCGGACCUCCGGGAUUCUGCGCAAGUGCAAAGCGCGGGGGUUGGGGUGGGAGUUGUGCGCAUGAGCAAAAAUGCUGGGGAAAGUGGCGACCGGGCGGGGGAGUGUAGAGGCGAUAUUGACAGCUGUGGCGGCAGCCCGCGUUCCCGGCAUGCCCCGGGGCGGCGGGGUUGGCUCUAACGAAUUUGAAUGAGGAGCCUCAGCGCUUUCGGCGCCAUUUUCGAGUGAUGCCUGAUCUCAUCCAUCUAGCGGGAGGAACGUUAUAACCUGUCUGAGGGCACAGAGUCGCUCGGACUCGACCGAAAAAGAUUACUGAAAAAAAUUGUCAAAAAUUUUAUCGAACCAGAGGAGCCCGUGGAGCUUGGCCGGGGCUGGCGCCGUCGGUUUUGACCUUUAGGAGAGAACCAAUUCAGAAGAACAACCUAACUUCUUUGAUUGAAUGUGUUGGAACAUGACAGGAGAUUAAGGAAGCCUUACCUACUUGAAGAAGAUGUCUUUUGAAAUGUGUGUUACAAGGAAUGAAUUGCUGUUUAUAAAUUGUUUUUAUCAUCAAGGGCUUCACUGCUUCGAGACAACUUAUUCUUUCAGGUAGACACACUGAAAGAAGGAAAGAGAGGCUGGGUGGUGGUGCACCUGGUUGAGUGCACAUGUUACAGUGUGCAAGGACCCGAGUUCAAGCCCUCGAUCCCCACCUGCAGGGGGAAACCUUCACAAGUGGUGGAGCAGUGUUGCAGGUACUAUCUCUCCUACGCAGGGUGUCUCGCUGAUCGCCACGAAGUAGAAGCUAUGGGAAGGAAGGUUUAGAGGCGUUAAGGCAUGAUCGGACCUUACUCAAACACUGGAGGUUGAGGAAUGAAAUCAAGAACUUAAAAGUUCAAAUAAUUCAGUUAAAAAUUGGGAAUUGGGAGAGUUGGGCAGUAGCACAGUGGGUUAAGCGCAGGUGGCAUGAAGCGCAAGGACUGGCAUAAGGAUCCCGGUUCGAGCCCCCCAAGCCCCCACCUGCAGGGAGUCCCUUCACAGGCGGUGAAGCAGUUACAUCUGACUUAUAUGCCUGGUCUACUGACUUCAUCUUUUCAUGACAGAUGAAGAGCACUACUCAGCUUUGGUUUAUGGUGGUGGUGAGGAUUGAACCUGGGACCUCAAGUGUGAAUGUCUUUUUGCAUAUUGACUAUACUCUCCCCAUUCCACACAUAAACUUCUGUAAUGUGUGCAUUUAACCAUGUGCACCACCAACUGGCCUUUAUAAAUACAUUUCUAAAAGUAAAA
Erinaceus europaeus (western European hedgehog) is the source of this 1937-nucleotide long non-coding RNA. RefSeq lists it as uncharacterized. Lineage: Eukaryota; Metazoa; Chordata; Mammalia; Eulipotyphla; Erinaceidae. The record is from RefSeq and is a predicted model, not a curated record. The transcript is spliced from 10 exons.